This 524-nucleotide ribosomal RNA is filed under the name Legionella yabuuchiae. Its description in RNAcentral is "bacterial SSU rRNA". It matches the Rfam family "Bacterial small subunit ribosomal RNA", at positions 45 to 558 of the family's 1533-position model. The record is from RNAcentral. Lineage: Bacteria; Pseudomonadati; Pseudomonadota; Gammaproteobacteria; Legionellales; Legionellaceae.
UGCUUAACACAUGCAAGUCGAACGGCAGCAUGAUCUAGCUUGCUAGAUUGAUGGCGAGUGGCGAACGGGUGAGUAAUGCGUAGGAAUAUGCCCUGGAGCGGGGGAUAACCUGGGGAAACUCAGGCUAAUACCGCGUAAUCUCUUAGGAGCAAAGCUGGGGACCGUAAGGCCUGGCGCUUCAGGAGUAGCCUACGUCCGAUUAGCUAGUUGGUGGGGUAAGGGCCUACCAAGGCGACGAUCGGUAGCUGGUCUGAGAGGAUGAUCAGCCACACUGGGACUGAGACACGGCCCAGACUCCUACGGGAGGCAGCAGUGGGGAAUAUUGGACAAUGGGGGCAACCCUGAUCCAGCAAUGCCGCGUGUGUGAAGAAGGCCUGAGGGUUGUAAAGCACUUUCAGUGGGGAGGAGGGUUAAUAGGUUAAGAGCUAAUUGACUGGACGUUACCCACAGAAGAAGCACCGGCUAACUCCGUGCCAGCAGCCGCGGUAAUACGGAGGGUGCGAGCGUUAAUCGGAAUUACUGGG